CCUACGGGGGGCAGCAGUGGGGAAUAUUGCACAAUGGAGGAAACCCUGAUGCAGCAACGCCGCGUGAGUGAUGACGGCCUUCGGGUUGUAAAGCUCUGUCUUCAGGGACGAUAAUGACGGUACCUGAGGAGUAAGCCACGGCCAACUACGUGCCAGCAGCCGCGGUAAUACGUAGGUGGCGAGCGUUGUCCGGAUUUACUGGGCGUAAGGGGAGCGUAGGCGGACUUUUAAGUGAGAUGUGAAAUACUCGGGCUCAACUUGAGUGCUGCAUGUCAAACUGGAAGUCUAGAGUGCAGGAGAGGAGAAUGGAAUUCGUGGUGUAGCGGUGAAAUGCGUAGAGAUUACGAAGAACCCCAAUUGCGAAGGCGAUUCUCUAGACUGUAACUGACGCUGAGGCUCGAAAGCGUGGGGAGCAAACAGGAUUAGAUACCCGGGUAGUC
This 440-nucleotide ribosomal RNA is filed under the name uncultured bacterium. RNAcentral's name for it is "partial 16S ribosomal RNA". It matches the Rfam family "Bacterial small subunit ribosomal RNA", at positions 338 to 795 of the family's 1533-position model. The record is from RNAcentral.